Molecule: ribosomal RNA, 493 nt
Filed under: uncultured bacterium
Lineage: Bacteria
Description: partial 16S ribosomal RNA
Rfam family: Bacterial small subunit ribosomal RNA
Source: RNAcentral
ACGAACGCUGGCGGCGUGCUUAACACAUGCAAGUCGAACGGUGAAGCGCCUUCCUUUUUGGUGGGUGUGGAUGAGUGGCGCACGGGUGAGUAACACGUGAGUAACCUGCCCCCUUCUUCUGGAUAACCGCAUGAAAGUGUGGCUAAUACGGGAUAUUCUGGGUCUGUCGCAUGAUGGGUCUGGGAAAGAUAUUGUUUCGGUGGGGGAUGGGCUCGCGGCCUAUCAGCUUGUUGGUGGGGUGAUGGCCUACCAAGGCGGUGACGGGUAGCCGGCCUGAGAGGGUGGACGGUCACACUGGGACUGAGACACGGCCCAGACUCCUACGGGAGGCAGCAGGGGGGAAUAUUGCACAAUGGGCGCAAGCCUGAUGCAGCGACGCCGCGUGAGGGAUGGAGGCCUUCGGGUUGUGAACCUCUUUCGCCAGUGAAGCAGGCCUGCCUCGUUUGUGGGUGGGUUGACGGUAGCUGGAGAAGAAGCGCCGGCUAACUACGUG